GAAGGCAAAAGUCCAAGCGUGACGCACGAGUGAAUACAAGUCAGCGUGAACAGUACAUGGGUAUUGUUCAUCUAUUUAUAGGCACAGGGCGCAACCUGUGCAAAAUUACAUUCAUGCCCUUUAUGUUUACUAUUGACUUAAGGACAAUCUAUCGAGGACUAGAUAGCCUUUUCCUCUUUAAGUCGGUUCCUUUUUCUGCUGCUGAGCCGAAACUUCCUUGCGCUUAGCUUCGGAACUGGUUCAACCUUCGUCCUGACCAUGCUUUUCAUAUUGUGUACAACUUCAUUCCAAGUCCGAAGGUUCCUGUACAUAUAUCACACUUAGGAAACAUUGUUAAUCAUGUUUUUGAGGACCUUCGGAAGACGAAGGCCCCCAACAGUAGCCCCUCGCAGUAUUAAUUUGUUAUAACAACGAAUUUAGACUGCAACAUGAACGAAGGCCUUAAGCCGAAGGUCCGAAAAAACACCUUCCCUUUGCUAGAAUAGCAACAGUCAAUGACAGACGGGGUCCACCAAGCUGCAAAGCACUGGGCGUAUAAAUAUGAGCCAUAGCGACAGUGUUUGAUACGCCAUUUCUGCCGUUUGCGUUAUUUUCUCAAACUUUUAGCUCUUGCUCAUUAGCUCUUGUCUGAUUUUCGACCUUUCCAAGCUUCAGUUUAGAGACAUGUUUUCGCCAUGUCUGAGGAGAAGAAGAUAGCUGAGGAGACAAAGAUAACUGAGGAGACGAAGCUGUAUGAAGAAAAGAAAGUUGCAGAUCCUUUCAUCGCUGGAUUUUAUGAGUCCAUGGCAAAAACAAAUACAGAGAAAAUUACUAAGGAGAUCAUGGAGGGUUUAUCCGAAGAUUCUGAAGACAGUGAUAGUUAUGACGUGGAGAGUGGGGAUGAAGAUUCUGAGGAUCGGCCCUGGCGGCCAAGCCAUGUCGUCUUCGGAAAAUCAACCAUCAAGCAGAGUCAUAUUGACACCAUGAGAGGGAGAUAUUUUCGUGAUAUGUCUAUUGUUAGAGUUGGAGGAGACAACAUCUCCCUGCUCCUGAGGAAAAUGAAGUUGUUGUCUAUCGAAGCUUUCUGAAGGCUGGUCUUCGGUUCCCUUUGAGCAAAUUUGUGGUUGAAGUAUUGAAGAUAUUCCAAAUCUUCCUUCAUCAGAUCACCCCCGAAGCUAUAAUUAGGAUGGGGAUUUUUGUCUGGGCUGUAAGGAGUCAGGGGCUAGAGCCAAGCGCGAAGUGCUUCUGCAGUAUGCACGAACUUUUAUGCGAGAUGAAGGCUACUGGCAAAGAACAGUACCACAACAACUUCGGUUGUUAUGGAUUUAUUGCUCGCCCCAAUGCAAGCCACCCAGUGCCAACAUUCCGGAAAAGAUGGCCUGGGGCCUGGAUGGCGGAGUGGUUUUACGUUAAAAAUGAUUUAAAGAAAAGGGAGGAUAUCAAGGAAAUAAUUCAACGCCCCAUCUAGUCUCGCUUCGGCCUUCAAAGGCCGAGGGUCACUAUUGAAAGCGAUGUCGAAGCAUGCUAGAAGGCCUUUAGCAAUGUUUGUGCCUUAAUUGGCACAAGAGAUAUAAUUCAAGAACACAUAGCCUUCAAGGUGUGGCCACUUGUGGAAAGCUGGGAUAUGCCGAAGGAAACUACUGUUGAAUCUAGUGAAAAUGGCUUAGUUCGACUGAAGUAUACCUUCAGAUUUAGAGAGAGGUUUGAUGAGCCAAAUGAUGACUGGUUAAAAUGUAUUGAAGCUACCAGUGAUGAGCUACUUGGGGCAUACUCCAAGGCCGAAGAUAAUGCUUUGUCCACAGCUUUCGAAGGUCGGGGCAAGAAAAUAUUUAACAGGGUAUUUGAUGCGAUUGGCUUCGUAUACCCUGAUUACCACUACCCGCUACGAGGGCAAGGAAAAAAGAGAAAGACUGCCGCUUCGGCCACCACAGCUGAGCCGAAGGGCAAAAAGGUGAAAGUUCUGACCCACCGGUCGCGUUAUAUUGAACCGGUCGUAGUGCCUGAAUUUGGCGAAGGGGCCUCUUCAACUGCCAAAACACGACAAGCUGCUUCGAUUGUGCAGAGUGUUGAAGAGCCGACUAUAGUGCCGAAGGUGCCUACAGUCAGGCCAAUCGAAUCUAAAGAUGAUAAGGCCGAAGAGCCACAGGUGGAAAAAAUAGAGAAAAUGCCUGAAAUUCUGAGCCCACCAGCUGAGGCAAGUUUGCCGAAGGUGCAGAAGGCUCCUGCCGCAACUCCCAAGAGGAGGAGGAUGGCCAGCGUGCUAGAUGCUAUUAUGGAGACUACAAAGGCCUUGACCCCUGCUUCUAUUAAGAAAACUGCCGAAGCUGCCAAGGGUCAGGCCGAAGACGAACCCGAGCCUACAGUGCCCAUUGAGGCGAUGGCUGUCACGCCUGAAGACAAAGCUGAUCAGCAAACUUCGGAUACCAGCAAGACACCAGGGCAAGAUAUGGCAGAAAAAGCAAAAUCUCCUGCCCUCGAAGCCCCGGCCGAAGCUGUGGAUUACAUUUAUCGACACGCUUCGGGGAAGAAAUUGUCCGAAGAUGAAACCGUGGAAGCAAGACAUUAUGCUCAAAAACUGAAAUAUCUGAAUGGAGCCUUAGUGUUUAACGGUAGUAACGAAGAUGAUUUCCUAUACUGUCUCCGGACAACAAAUAAAUAUCUGUUUGCCGGGAGAUAGCUAAGAGUAUGGGAUUUCCUAAGCUUGAAGAAGGCCUUUCGGUCUUAUCGAAGGAUGAUCUUGCUGAUAGCUUGGCAUACAACAGUAUAAAGGUAUAGAAGUUAACUUUAAAGUUGGGAAUGAAGUAUUUUAUUUUUCAUGCUCAAUUCUUUCAUCAUCUUUGCAGGGCUUAAUUCUUAGUAAUGCCCUGAGGGAACAGAAGAACAUCAAAGACGAAAGCUAUACAAUGUCUCUUAACAACCUUCGUUCAGAGGUGAUUGAACUGAGAAACGAAGGUCUGGAAAAAGACAAAAUUUUGAUUUCAUUGGUAAACAAAGUAAAGGAAGACGAAGCUAAUUACAAAGCCAAGGCCGAAGCCCAGAAAACCGAGAUUGAAGACCUUCGGAGACAACUGGCCGAAGCUAAUGAGAGGUGCACACUCGCACAGGCUAACCGAGAGAUCACCGAAUACUGGAAAAAUAAGCUAGAGAAAAAUGUUGAAGAACUUCGUGAAUCCAAGGAAAAGUGUUUUGAGAAAUCCUUGGAUUGCGUGAAAAAAUUAAAAACUAGCUUCGCCAAAGUGGGCGCCUAUUCUUCUGAAGAAAAUUUUAUCAGGGCGACCCCGAGGGCGUUGUUGAAUGGAUAAGUGGAGAAGCUGAAGCCUUCGAGGAAAUCUUGAAUGAUCGCAGGGAUAUUUGUGUGUUUUCCGACGCGCGGGGGAUCUCAGCUAUUCUGGAGAAGGCCGGAUGUGAUCAUGUUAAGGCUAUAUCCCAGGCUGAAGCUGCCUUCUUCAUAGAGGAUACGAAGGAUCCUUCAGCCGAAGCAACUUUAAUGGGCGAGAAAUUUUAUAACGAUGUCUGGGUGAACGGUGGCCGAGAGCUAGCCCACGAGAUUAUAAAAAAGAAUGAAAAAGACACCCAUGACGCCUGGGCUGAAGCAAAGCGAGCUGAAGAGGCUGCUGAACACGAAAGGCGUAUAGGUAUUAUUUUUUGGUGUUUUAGCUUCGGUACUUUGUUUUGUGGCUUCGAACUAAUCAAUUUACCUCUUUCAGCUGAACUAUCCCCUCCACCAGAACCAUACAAUCCCCUAGUUGAUCCAGAAAUGAAGGAAGCACUAGAUAUUAUAAGCAUGGCAGACUCCAUUAUUGACGAAGUCGUCGAUAAACUUUUGAACGAAGUUGCAGAAAAAGUCCUUAGAGAAGAAUAGAUUUUAUUGUAAUAAUAUUUUGAAAUGCUUGGUGUACAUAACAAUGGAAUUAAUGUUAGGCUUCUAUUGUAACAAAACUAUGUGACAUUUGAUGUAUGUAACAUUGAAUCGAAUAUGUAAAUUAUUGUAAUUUAUUUAUUUGUGAUGCAUGAAAUUUACACACAUACCGUUUUUGAGCCUUCGGCGAAAAAACACCUUCCCUUCUUUUCAUGCUUCGUAAAGAAAGAGAUCCCUUCUUAUGACAAGUCUGAUAAAACUGUAUUUCCCGAAGCUUACUUCGUGCCUUGGCACAUUUUCAUUUUGACGAAGCAUUUGCCGAAGAUUGGCUUCGUAUUCGAUUCUUGUGCUGUUAAUGCAAUAUGAUGUAUGAUGUAAUGUUAUGCGAAAUGAUGUGAUGACAUGAUGCAAAAUGAUGAGGAUGUCGAAGACACACACCCACACGCCCACACCGGAAUACACAAGCUCUGCAUCCCCUUAGGAACGACUUUUGAGCUUCUUCACCUUCUAUUUCAGUGAUAUAAGUUCUGCAUCCCCUUAGGAACGUCUUUUGAACUUCUUCGCCUUCUAUUUCGGUGGUAUAAGUUCUGCAUCCCCUUAGGAACGACUUUUGAACUUCUUCGCCUUAUAUGUCGGCGGUAUUUGGCUCUGCAUUCCCUUUGGAACGACUUUUGAGCAGAAAACUUACACUGCGCUCCCUUAGGAAUAACUUUUUGUAGCUUCGUCAAUUUUGGCUCUGCAUUCCCUUAGGAACGACUUUUGAGCAAAAAACUUACGCUGCGCUCCCUUAGGAACGACUUUUUGUAUCUUCGUCAAUUUUGGCUCUGUAUUCCCUUAGGAACGACUUUUGAGCUUCGUAAAUCUGUGAGGAAGAUAUAUUUAAUUCUGGUACAGGCAGAAUCAUUACAAGAAAUUAAAACUGAGUUUUUUAUUACUUGUUCUUCAUACAGAAAGAAAAAUGGCGUAAAAAGUAAAAGUAUUUCAAAAGUAGGAUAUUGCUCAGUAUAUGUGCUUUGAUUCUGGUACAGUGCUGUUGACUGUACGAGCUUCGGACUCCUCUCUGAAAUCAUGUUACUAUUGAGGGUGCUAGCGCCCUUCUGGGUGCUGGCUUCGAGUAUAAGUAGGUUGCAAUGGUGGUGGCGGUGGGAGCUGAGGCCAGGAAGCUUGUGAAUGUCUUGCCGAAGCAACAGAAGCUGCAGGUUGAUUGCCCACAUAUUCUGGUAUGUAGGGAGAGUAACACGAAGCAGUAUGUAGGACCUGCUUUGGUUGAUUCUACCGGGCUUCUGCUUCGGCGAUCUCUUUUUGCUUUUAAAUGGUAAUUUGGCACGUUCUUGUCGUGUGGCCCUUGUCUUCACCACAUAAUAAGCAGUAGAUUUUCCUGGGCUGAUCCCCAUAUCUUCCUCCGAAGCCCCUCCGCCUCGGCCCCUUGGAGCUGGUGGUCUGAAGGAGCUUUGCUGCUGUCCUGAAGACUGUGAGUUGUGUUGUGGCCUCUGAAACUGGCCUCCCUUGUCAUCGUUCUGACUGGAGCUGUGGAUUGAUCUGACGUGCCUAGGGUGGAUUCUUCCUCCGAAGCCCCUAGUCAUCUCAGAAAAUCUAUAAGCUUCCUUCCUUCUUUGGCGGAAGUCAUUGUCAGCCCGGAUGUACUCAUCCAUUUUCUGAAGCAACUUCUCCAGAGUCUGGGGGGUUUCCUAGCGAAGUAUUGAGCCGUAGGCCCUGGCCGAAGACCUUUGAUCAUGGCCUCAAUGACGAUUUCAUUGGGACCAUGGGUGCUUGUGCUCAUAGACGUAAGAACCUUCGGACAUAUGCCUAAAGGUACUCCUCAUGGUCUUGAGUGCACUGGAACAAGGCCUGAGUAGUGACUGGCUUCGUAUGAAACCCUUGAAAGCCGGUGACCAGCAUUUCCUUAAGCUUCUGCCGUGACAUGAUUGUCCCUGGCCAGAGAGAAGAGUACCAUGUCUGGGCCACACUUCGGACUGCCAUGACGAAGGACUUCGCCAUGACUGCGAUAUUGCCCCCAUACAAAGAUAUAGUUGCUUUGUAGCUCAUCAGAAACUGUUUCGGAUCUGAGUGCCCGUCUUACAUGGGGAGCUGAGGUGGCUUGUAUGAUGGGGGCCAUGGGGUAGCCUGCAGUUCUGCUGAUAGAGGAGAAACAUCAUCAAAAGCAAAAUUUCCAUGAUGGAAAUCGUCAUACCAAUCAUCAUCAUUGUAGGAAUUGUCCUGAUGAAGCUCUCUUUGUGGAGGUCUUCGGUCCUGGUCAUCUUGAGUAAGAUGACGUAUUUCUUUAGCAACUUCAUCGAUCUUCUUCUGUAGAUCAGAGAGACGAAGCAUUUUCUCUCUUUUCCUUUCGACCUGUUGAUGGAUAGCUUCGACAUCCCUUAUCUCCUGGUCAAGCUCCUCUUCCUGGGGUGUUGGACUUGUAGCCUUCCUCUUUUGAGUUCGAGCUUCGUGCAGCGUGUCCUGAUUGACGUCUAGUGGCUGCAAUGCAGCCCCUAGCCCUGAAGAAAUUUCCUUCGGCGGCAUGACGAAGGUCACGACUUGCAGAAGGUGGUCGAUUGAGUUCACCGUAGGUGGGCGCCAAUGUUGGGGACUUGUUCUCAAAUGCUAUGAGUUAAGAACAAGGCAACACAAAAUGAUAAUGGUUAAAGUCCUUCGUCCUUCGAAGCAUUAUCUCCCUUAGGAUAUAAUGAUCUUUAGACAAAGGUCAUGAAGGACGUACCUUCAUCAUCGCAGUAUAUAUAUAUUAAUGAAAGAAGAAACAUAUUGUCACACCCAGGUUUUAGGGGUCCAAAGCCCGGGCGCGAACAUAAUCACCAGGUGUGCUGGGACCAAGUCUCACACAUAUGAUGAAUCAUGGCACAGGAUCGAAUGUCACAUCUUUACUAUAUAAUAGGAGUUAUGUACAAAAUAAAUAAAUAAUUACAUUAUAAGGAGACAACGGUCCAGCAACCCAAAGUUGACUGGGAGACGACAACCUAGACCUCUCACGAACUCGUCACAACAUCCUCCAAGCGCCUCAUCCUGCGGUACCUGUUCUUGACCUGUGGAGGGGUGUGAGACAGCAAGAGUGAGCUCACAUACGUUCAUCGCUCAACAAGUUGUGGGGAAUAAUGUGCAUGAACUCGCCAAAGGUGGGAGCUCACGUGAAGUGUAAGGCUUACCAAAGAGGAUGGUUGAAGCUGAGCAUUGCUUUUAAUGUUGGUCAAAAUUUUAUUAGCAAUUACUAAGUAUAAGUAAAUACCAACCCAAUUAAGUAGCAGAACAAAAGUAACAACCUCACCUGCGAUGCAAUGCAUAUGACAAAUUGAGUUUAAGUUUCAUAAUUUAAUCAUGUGAGUGUCCGAGCUGCUCAUGACCGUGAGCACGGCUAGUAUACCAGUUUUACACUCUGCAGAGGUUGCACAUCUUUACCCACAAGUCAUGUUACCCAUCUGCCAAGGGAUCGCGACUUCCCAUACACCUCUACCGAGGAGGCGAGGCAGGGUAACACUACGAGGCCUUUACAAAGUUCCACUAGCUUCAGAAAACCCGCUACAGUUUAUAGGAAGCUCCAAUGCAGGGUUCUUGCCUGACCGCCAUCGCAGCAAAAUCAACCAAGGACCUCCCUACACUGACCACUCCCCUACUGCCCUUGCCCCUUUCGGGUAAGGUAGUCCUCCACUAGCUUUCCUAAUUAAUCAGCCAAGGGCAUCCAUAAACCCUUGUGGUAGCACUGUUUUCCCGGGUGGUUCUCCAUGUUCCAAUUAACAUAAUGAUCUUAUCAUGAACAGUAAAUAACAACUGAUAAUAAAAGUGUAAUCAUGAAUAAUGUAUCUCCAUACCCAAAACCACAUAUAGCACUAGCAAGUACUACCCAAAAAGUUUAGUGGAGUCAAGGUAUAAAGAUAAUCAAACUAGGGUAACCUGUUGGGUCCCAUCAAAAUUAACCUAUGCAGAUCAUUAUGAUUAAUCAGAACAUGACUGGGUAAAAAGAAGUGAUCAAGGGCACAACUUGCCUGAGACUUGAGAUUCCAGGUACCAGGAUGAUCUUCAGAUUCUCGUGACCUCACUGCUAGUCGUAGUAAUACAAACAUACAUGGUAUAGGCAAAAUUAACAUCACCCCAAACAUAAGAACAAACUGAAUAAUAAUAAUCUACGCUGAUACGAGACUAACGGAACUUGAACGAAUCAAAUCGGAGUUAAAACGGAGGAGUUAUGAUUUUAUGAAGAUUCUAUGUGUUUUGUACAAGAUUAAAUGGGAUAUAAAUUUUGAUGUGACUUUCAUAUCAAAACAGAGGUACUAUGUGAUAAACAAUAAUAUUAUAGAAUUAUAGAAAUUGGAAUGAACUAAUUUGGACAUCAUAUGAAUUUUCUAUGAUUAAUACAAGUUCUAGUAUUUAUUUUUGCACUAAAAAUCCAUUUCUAAUAUAUUUCCUCUGAUUUUCCAACUCUCUGGACUGGGCGCAUAAUUAUUAAAUAGCGCAGGGUCCUCGGCGCUAAACCUACCGAGACACAGAACACUGAGAUAUGGACCGCGGGUUGGUUUCUUAAAAACAGAGGGGCUUCUCUGCAAAAUGCGCACGGCGAAAGGGUAUCAUCUAAAUCUAGCCGUUCAGAUUAGGUCCUACGGCCCAGAUUACAUUAGCCUAACAUCGAGACGGUACGCGCCCAGAGCCGUCGAUCAAACAAUCAACGACCGGGAUUUAAAAUGCCGAGAUAGACUAUUGUGCGUUCGAUCCCGAUCUAACGGACACAACCUAAUCUAUCCCAGCCGUUCCUACACGAUCGACGGUCCAAGGGCUUUGUCUUAAUCCGGCUAGCCACAGGCGGCGGCGCGCACACCAUGCAGGGGAAACAGAUCGGCCCUGGCCGGUUUGGUCAUGCUAGGAAGGUUUGGCCAACAGGUCACAUGGCUAGCUGUAGCAGAUGGGUGCCAGUCAGGCUAGUGCAGGCUCGUCGGCCGGUGGUGGCCGCAUGGCCUUGGCACGACGAGCGCUGGACAUCCGGGUGGGGGCGGCAGGACGCGUAACCGCCGAGGCUGGGAAGGGGCUACAGGGAGAAGGGCGCCGCCAUGGCCAGGGGAGUCGUGUCGAGGGGAGGGUUGCAUGGUGUGCGUAAGGAAAAGAACACGACAUGGCUAGAGAAGAGGAUCGGCAAGGGUCGGCAAUGGCGCUACGUGCUUCCACGGCGAGUAUGGAAAGGGGCGUGGGGAGCAAGGGAGCGUACCUGCUAACUGCAAUUGACAUCUCGGCGAGGGCUGAGCAAUGGUGCAGUGCAACGUUGUCGACGGCAGCAACAUAUAUAUAUCUCUCUCUCUCUCUUAGUUCAGGGGUUACGACUAGAAAUCCUGGUGCAGCAUAGGCUUUCGUGGCUUAUGGCCAGAGGAGUAGGCGACCAGGUUCUUAUAUCCCAAGCAUCGAUGGUCUAGCUGGCGCACGGCUA
This 9257-nucleotide long non-coding RNA is filed under the name Zea mays. RNAcentral's name for it is "long non-coding RNA (ZMAY_LNC004441)". Lineage: Eukaryota; Viridiplantae; Streptophyta; Magnoliopsida; Poales; Poaceae. The record is from RNAcentral.